This 306-nucleotide long non-coding RNA is filed under the name Androctonus crassicauda. Lineage: Eukaryota; Metazoa; Arthropoda; Arachnida; Scorpiones; Buthidae. The record is from RNAcentral.
GCCAGAGCGGUGUUAAGAUUACCUAGCUUUAUAUCUCUUUGAUGUUCCUCGACUCUCGUUCCAAUCGUCCUUGAUGUCGCUCCAGUGUGCGCUGUCUCUUUGCACGUGUUGUUCUCCCUUGGGGGUGCUCUGUGUGCGCCUUUUUUCUCGUGCUGCUCCAGCGGGUCUUUCUCGUUCCGUAGUGUCUCGGGGGCCGUUGGGUUCCUUUCAGUCGCUAUUCGUUUCCGAUCUCUUUUGGCCAGCUUGCGCACUGCCUUUAGAUUCCUGGGGUGGUGGGGCACCGGUGGGUGCUGUUCGCCUCUUUCU